GUGAGGAAUAUUGCGCAAUGGACGAAAGUCUGACGCAGCCACGCCGCGUGCAGGAAGACACCCCUCCGGGGCGUAAACUGCUUUUAUAUGGGAAGAACACCCUGCCCUGCAGGGUCUGACGGUACCAUACGAAUAAGGACCGGCUAACUCCGUGCCAGCAGCCGCGGUAAUACGGAGGGUCCAAGCGUUGUCCGGAAUCACUGGGUGUAAAGGGUGCGCAGGCGGGCUUGUAAGUCAGAGGUGAAAUCCCCCGGCCUAACCGGGGAACUGCCUUUGAUACUGCAAGUCUUGAGUCUUGGAGAGGUUGCCAGAAUUCGUGGUGUAGCGGUGAAAUGCGUAGAUAUCACGAGGAAUACCUGAUGCGUAGGCGGGCAACUGGACAAGUACUGACGCUGAGGCACGAAAGCGUGGGGAGCGAACAGG
Molecule: ribosomal RNA, 423 nt
Filed under: uncultured bacterium
Lineage: Bacteria
Description: bacterial SSU rRNA
Rfam family: Bacterial small subunit ribosomal RNA
Source: RNAcentral